RNAcentral lists this ribosomal RNA (253 nucleotides) under uncultured bacterium. RNAcentral describes it as "partial 16S ribosomal RNA". It matches the Rfam family "Bacterial small subunit ribosomal RNA", at positions 524 to 776 of the family's 1533-position model. The record is from RNAcentral.
CACGUAGGGUGCGAGCGUUGUCCGGAAUUACUGGGCGUAAAGCGCGUGUAGGCGGCUUCGUAAGUCGGGUGUGAAAGCCCUGGGCUCAACCCAGGAAGUGCACUCGAUACUACGGAGCUGGAGUCUCGGAGAGGAUAGCGGAAUUCUCGGUGUAGAGGUGAAAUUCGUAGAUAUCGAGAGGAACACCGGUGGCGAAGGCGGCUAUCUGGACGGUGACUGACGCUGAGACGCGAAAGCGUGGGGAGCAAACAGG